CCUACGGGAGGCUGCAGUGGGGAAUAUUGCACAAUGGGGGAAACCCUGAUGCAGCGACGCCGCGUGAAUGACGAAGGCCCUCGGGUCGUAAAGUUCUUUCGACAGGGAAGAAAAUGCCUAUAAGUAACUGUGUAGGUAUUGACGGUACCUGUAUAAGCAGCCCCGGCUAACUCCGUGCCAACAGCCGCGGGAAUACGGAGGGGGCGAGCGUUGUUCGGAGUGACUGGGCGUAAAGGGCACGGAGGCGGUGGUGUAAGUCAUUAGUCAAAGACUAGAGCUCACCUUUAGUAAGGCUAGUGAUACUAUAAUACUAGAGUGUCAGAGAGGAAUGCAGAAUGCCUGGUGUAGCGGUGAAAUGCGUAGAUAUCAGGAGGAAUACCGUUAGCGAAGGCAGCAAUCUGGCUGGAAACUGACGCUGAGGUGCGAAAGCGUGGGUAGCAAACAGGAUUAGAUACCCCUGUAGUC
RNAcentral lists this ribosomal RNA (465 nucleotides) under uncultured bacterium. Its description in RNAcentral is "partial 16S ribosomal RNA". It matches the Rfam family "Bacterial small subunit ribosomal RNA", at positions 338 to 795 of the family's 1533-position model. The record is from RNAcentral.